AGAGUUUGAUCAUGGCUCAGAUUGAACGCUGGCGGCAGGCCUAACACAUGCAAGUCGAGCGGUAGAGAGAAGCUUGCUUCUCUUGAGAGCGGCGGACGGGUGAGUAAUGCCUAGGAAUCUGCCUGGUAGUGGGGGAUAACGUUCGGAAACGAACGCUAAUACCGCAUACGUCCUACGGGAGAAAGCAGGGGACCUUCGGGCCUUGCGCUAUCAGAUGAGCCUAGGUCGGAUUAGCUAGUUGGUGAGGUAAUGGCUCACCAAGGCGACGAUCCGUAACUGGUCUGAGAGGAUGAUCAGUCACACUGGAACUGAGACACGGUCCAGACUCCUACGGGAGGCAGCAGUGGGGAAUAUUGGACAAUGGGCGAAAGCCUGAUCCAGCCAUGCCGCGUGAGUGAUGAAGGCCUUAGGGUUGUAAAGCUCUUUUGUCCGGGAAGAUAAUGACUGUACCGGAAGAAUAAGCCCCGGCUAACUUCGUGCCAGCAGCCGCGGUAAUA
This 497-nucleotide ribosomal RNA is filed under the name uncultured bacterium. RNAcentral describes it as "bacterial SSU rRNA". It matches the Rfam family "Bacterial small subunit ribosomal RNA", at positions 8 to 525 of the family's 1533-position model. The record is from RNAcentral.